AGUGAACGCUGGCGGUAGGCCUAACACAUGCAAGUCGAACGGCAGCACAGUAAGAGCUUGCUCUUACGGGUGGCGAGUGGCGGACGGGUGAGGAAUACAUCGGAAUCUACUUUUUCGUGGGGGAUAACGUAGGGAAACUUACGCUAAUACCGCAUACGACCUACGGGUGAAAGCAGGGGAUCUUCGGACCUUGCGCGAUUGAAUGAGCCGAUGCCGGAUUAGCUAGUUGGCGGGGUAAAGGCCCACCAAGGCGACGAUCCGUAGCUGGUCUGAGAGGAUGAUCAGCCACACUGGAACUGAGACACGGUCCAGACUCCUACGGGAGGCAGCAGUGGGGAAUAUUGGACAAUGGGCGCAAGCCUGAUCCAGCCAUACCGCGUGGGUGAAGAAGGCCUUCGGGUUGUAAAGCCCUUUUGUUGGGAAAGAAAAGCAGCAGGUUAAUACCCCGCUGUUCCGACGGUACCCAAAGAAUAAGCACCGGCUAACUUCGUG
RNAcentral lists this ribosomal RNA (492 nucleotides) under uncultured bacterium. Its description in RNAcentral is "partial 16S ribosomal RNA". It matches the Rfam family "Bacterial small subunit ribosomal RNA", at positions 29 to 507 of the family's 1533-position model. The record is from RNAcentral.